RNAcentral lists this ribosomal RNA (401 nucleotides) under uncultured Sphingobacteriales bacterium. Its description in RNAcentral is "bacterial SSU rRNA". It matches the Rfam family "Bacterial small subunit ribosomal RNA", at positions 981 to 1382 of the family's 1533-position model. The record is from RNAcentral. Lineage: Bacteria; Pseudomonadati; Bacteroidota; Sphingobacteriia; Sphingobacteriales.
UCGAACGUAAGAUGACUGUAGGUGAAAGACUUACAUCUCUUCGGAGCAUUUUACGAGGUGCUGCAUGGUUGUCGUCAGCUCGUGCCGUGAGGUGUCGGGUUAAGUCCCAUAACGAGCGCAACCCCUACCUUUAGUUGCCAUCAGGUUAAGCUGGGGACUCUAAAGGAACUGCCUACGCAAGUAGUGAGGAAGCGGGGAUGACGUCAAAUCAGCACGGCCCUUACGUCCAGGGCUACACACGUGCUACAAUGGCCGAUACAGAGGGCAGCUACCUGGUGACAGGAUGCAAAUCUCCAAAGUCGGUCUCAGUUCGGAUCGGAGUCUGCAACCCGACUCCGUGAAGUUGGAUUCGCUAGUAAUCGCGCAUCAGCCAUGGCGCGGUGAAUACGUUCCCGGGCCUU